UACGUAGGGUGCAAGCGUUGUCCGGAAUUAUUGGGCGUAAAGAGCUCGUAGGCGGUUUGUCGCGUCUGCUGUGAAAACUCGGGGCUUAACUCCGGGCCUGCAGUGGGUACGGGCAGACUAGAGUGCGGUAGGGGAGACUGGAAUUCCUGGUGUAGCGGUGAAAUGCGCAGAUAUCAGGAGGAAUACCGGUGGUGUAGACGGCUCUCUGGACCGCCACUGACGCUGAGGAGCGAAAGCGUGGGGAGCGAACAGG
This 253-nucleotide ribosomal RNA is filed under the name uncultured bacterium. Its description in RNAcentral is "partial 16S ribosomal RNA". It matches the Rfam family "Bacterial small subunit ribosomal RNA", at positions 524 to 776 of the family's 1533-position model. The record is from RNAcentral.